CGGGAUUCCUGGACCAACACCAAACAUUAUCAGCGGCAAUUUGCCCGAACUGGUGGAGAAGGGAAUUGUGGUGACAUUCAAAGAAUGGACGCAGAAGUACGGGUCUGUCGUAGGAUUUUACAAUGGAAGAGUGCCCAUGGUGUUAAUCAAGGACC
Ixodes scapularis (black-legged tick) is the source of this 155-nucleotide long non-coding RNA. RefSeq lists it as uncharacterized. The transcript has 3 exons. NCBI's taxonomy places the organism in Eukaryota, Metazoa, Arthropoda, Arachnida, Ixodida, Ixodidae. The record is from RefSeq and is a predicted model, not a curated record.